Molecule: long non-coding RNA, 811 nt
Organism: Setaria italica (foxtail millet)
Lineage: Eukaryota; Viridiplantae; Streptophyta; Magnoliopsida; Poales; Poaceae
Exons: 2
Source: RefSeq, a predicted model, not a curated record
CGGCGACGAAGAGUUAGGACCAGGACGCGUUGGGAGCGUGUGCAGGAAGAAGAGAGGAAAGGCUCCAGUUUCUUAAUUUGUCGUUUGUUCUCGAUCUGCCACGCAGCAUGUUUUACACCAUAAAUAUAGCAGCGAGCUUGCUCGAUGUGCAACGUUGCAUGCGAGCUGAUUCUCGAGAAGGCAACUGCUAGGGGAAUCGUCCAAAAGGAACACGAAGAGAUCACUGCUACUAAGAUUACAACACUAGGAUGGUAAAGUCGAAGGAGGAACGCAGAGCGAAGCGCCAGAUAUUCAAAGCGAAGCUAAAGAAUUUUACCAGACAUGCCUGCAAGGUGACUGCGUGUACCAUGACUGGCGCUAAGAUCGGCGCCCUGAUUCUUGAUCCUGUAGUUUGCACACUUCUUGGGUUUUCGUACGGUGUGAUUUCAGUACUCAAGGACGACGUCACCGGGGACGUCGGCCCAACAGUUUUGGACGUGGUGCUCCCCAGCGGUCAGAAUUAGACGAUACAUCACGUAGCGACCUUUGCAUUCGUGGAUUCCUUCGUUCUUGCAAUUCUAGUUAUGUGCACGGGUGUGCGUAUUUGUGUGAGGGGAAUUUCUGGCCCGAUUAGAGAAAUUACCCCUAUUUAUGUUCUAUUAUAUCAAGGAGUGAAUACUAUCGAUGUAUAAUGCAAACAUUGGGCUGUUUCAUUUUAGAUAAACCUUGUUAUUUUCCCUUUUUUAAACACGGUACACAGAUAUAGACGUUUACAUGUAGUAUGUAUAGUCACCUCUAUUAAUACAUACAAGCAAACUUAUCUCUACGAGCA